GCAAAGUAAUAUUCAUAAUAGAAACAUUAUGAAAGUGUGGAAAAUUGCUUAAUUUUUGCACUAACAUAUUCCUCCCCUAUAUUAUUUAUGUUUUUAUCCUCAAACCCCUGCAAUUUUAGAAUUUUAUCUCUGCCCCUUAACAAAGUUUCUGAAUUCGUCUCUGCCCGUAACCAUUUCUUCUAGGAAAGCUGGUAGAAUUCUGGAUGAUAAAAUGAUUAUGAUGAUGAUGAUGAUGAUGAUGAUGAUGAUGAUAAAAGCUUACCAUAUAUGAGAAAUGGAGACUCUUUAGUGUUGGUCUUCAAUGGAGGCAUGUUAAAGACGAAAAACAAGUCCUGAGACGUUGCCAUCUUCUCCCACAGCUUUCUUGAGCUCCCAUGGUGUCCUCUAUCUAAACCUUUGGUAGCUUCAUACAUACAUGCAAACAAGUACACAAAGAAAGUUCAAGAAAGCUGUGGAAAAGCAUGGCCAGAACUUUUUAAAUUUAUCAGAGAAUUAAGCUUUUUUUAUGGGAUCCUACCCUAAAAAUAUACAAGGAAGAAGAAGAAGAAGAAGAUGGGCAUUCACUGUGUUUUCAUGGAAUAAUAUAUAAUCGUUUUAUCAAACUUUAUUUAAGAGAGAGAGGAGAGGAAGGCAUGGAAGAUACGGCAUGGUUUAUAAUUUAAGAUGGUGCAAGUUGUCAAUAUCGUAUAUACUUGUUUAAGUUCAAACUGGUUUAAAAUACGGAUAUUAAAUUUUGUCUAAACACGAUUAUAUUUGUAUAUAAUAAUGUGUGAUUAAAGUUCAAUUUAUUAACUAACUUGCAACAUUACUACUAUAUGCCAAAUUAAACCAUUCUCUUUUUCCUUGAAAAUCAACCCCGCAAUGAACAAGAAAAGUA
RNAcentral lists this long non-coding RNA (877 nucleotides) under Gossypium raimondii (Peruvian cotton). RNAcentral describes it as "long non-coding RNA (GRAI_LNC003318)". Lineage: Eukaryota; Viridiplantae; Streptophyta; Magnoliopsida; Malvales; Malvaceae. The record is from RNAcentral.